GGUAGCAUAAUCAUUAGUUUUUUAAUUGAGAACUUGUAUGAAAGGUUGAACAAAAGAAAUUCUGUCUUUUUUUUAAAAAUUGAAUUUACCUUUUAAGUGAAAAGGCUUAAAUAUUUUAAAGGGACGAUAAGACCCUAUAAAGCUUUGAUAAUAGGAUAAUUAAUUUUUGAAUUUAUUUAUAAAAAAAUGUAUUGUUUUUUUAUUUUAUUGGGGUGAUAUAAAUAUAAAAAAUAACUGUUUAAAUAAAAUACACAUAUUUGUGAAAUUGUAAAAGAUCCUAAUUUUAAGAUUGAAAGACAAAGUUACUUUAGGGAUAACAGCGUUAUUUCUUUUGAGAGUUCUUAUUGAAAAAGAAGUUUACGACCUCGAUGUUGAAUUAAAAUAAUCUUCACAGUGUAGCCGUUGUGAAAAGAGGGUCUGUU
RNAcentral lists this ribosomal RNA (422 nucleotides) under Notolopas brasiliensis. RNAcentral describes it as "partial 16S ribosomal RNA". It matches the Rfam family "Bacterial large subunit ribosomal RNA", at positions 1955 to 2581 of the family's 2925-position model. Lineage: Eukaryota; Metazoa; Arthropoda; Malacostraca; Decapoda; Epialtidae. The record is from RNAcentral.